Molecule: ribosomal RNA, 561 nt
Filed under: Nonomuraea sp. 322H07
Lineage: Bacteria; Bacillati; Actinomycetota; Actinomycetes; Streptosporangiales; Streptosporangiaceae
Description: bacterial SSU rRNA
Rfam family: Bacterial small subunit ribosomal RNA
Source: RNAcentral
GAGCGGCGAACGGGUGAGUAACACGUGAGUAACCUGCCCCUGACUCUGGGAUAAGCCUGGGAAACCGGGUCUAAUACCGGAUGUGACCUCCUCCGGCAUCGGAUGGUGGUGGAAAGUUUUUUCGGUUGGGGAUGGGCUCGCGGCCUAUCAGCUUGUUGGUGGGGUAGUGGCCUACCAAGGCGACGACGGGUAGCCGGCCUGAGAGGGCGACCGGCCACACUGGGACUGAGACACGGCCCAGACUCCUACGGGAGGCAGCAGUGGGGAAUAUUGCGCAAUGGGCGGAAGCCUGACGCAGCGACGCCGCGUGGGGGAUGACGGCCUUCGGGUUGUAAACCUCUUUCAGCAGGGACGAAGUUGACGUGUACCUGCAGAAGAAGCGCCGGCUAACUACGUGCCAGCAGCCGCGGUAAUACGUAGGGCGCAAGCGUUGUCCGGAAUUAUUGGGCGUAAAGAGCUCGUAGGUGGCUGGUCGCGUCUGCCGUGAAAGCCCGCAGCUUAACUGCGGGUCUGCGGUGGAUACGGNCCGGCUAGAGGUAGGUAGGGGCAAGUGGAAUUCCU